RNAcentral lists this ribosomal RNA (253 nucleotides) under uncultured bacterium. RNAcentral's name for it is "partial 16S ribosomal RNA". It matches the Rfam family "Bacterial small subunit ribosomal RNA", at positions 524 to 776 of the family's 1533-position model. The record is from RNAcentral.
UACGUAGGGUGCGAGCGUUGUCCGGAAUUAUUGGGCGUAAAGGGCUCGUAGGCGGUCUGUUGCGUCGGGGGUGAAAACUCAGGGCUUAACCCUGAGCCUGCUUCUGAUACGGGCAGACUAGAGGUAUGCAGGGGAGAACGGAAUUCCUGGUGUAGCGGUGAAAUGCGCAGAUAUCAGGAGGAACACCGGUGGCGAAGGCGGUUCUCUGGGCAGUACCUGACGCUGAGGAGCGAAAGCGUGGGGAGCAAACAGG